UGAAAUUUAGGACGAAAUGAGCUAAAAACCCACAACCAUUGCUUUCAAUCAUUAAAUGGCUUGAAUAAUGCUUUUUGUGGUUAAAAUAUGUUAGAAUACAAUAAGUUUGAUUGAUUACAAGUGCUAGAGCAUCAUGAAGAGUGUUUAGAAGUUUGGAGGAAGACUUGUUGAAAUUUGGUCCCAAAUGGGCUAAGAACUCGGAAACAUUGCGUUGAACCACUAAAUGGC
Molecule: long non-coding RNA, 228 nt
Filed under: Capsella rubella
Lineage: Eukaryota; Viridiplantae; Streptophyta; Magnoliopsida; Brassicales; Brassicaceae
Description: long non-coding RNA (CRUB_LNC000486)
Source: RNAcentral